GUGCUCACUUCCUCAGCACAUAUACUAAAAUUGGAACUAAAAAGAGAAGAUUAGCAUGGCCCCUGUGCAGGGAUGACACGCAAAUUCGUGAAGCAUUCCAUAUUUUU
RNAcentral lists this small nuclear RNA (107 nucleotides) under Meriones unguiculatus (Mongolian gerbil). The record is from RNAcentral. Lineage: Eukaryota; Metazoa; Chordata; Mammalia; Rodentia; Muridae.